This 856-nucleotide unclassified non-coding RNA is filed under the name Hevea brasiliensis (rubber tree). Lineage: Eukaryota; Viridiplantae; Streptophyta; Magnoliopsida; Malpighiales; Euphorbiaceae. The record is from RNAcentral.
UGAAACCUCAGGAAGAUUUCCAUUUAGGUCAUCUUGUUUCCCAGAACUGCUUGAAGGUGACUUCUUCACAACAGGUCCUUUCACAAACAUAUUGGAGCUAGCAGGGAGGGAUAUUGUUCCUUGUGGAAGUGGCGGGAGAAGCUCAUUUGCUAGGGUGACAAUCUCAAAAAUCUGCUCUGCUGGUCUACUUAGAGCUGGAGGAACUGAUGAGUUAGCUGAAACAGCAGAGCCUGAUAAUAUAUCUUUGAGAAUGCCACUGAUUCCAAGGAGAAGUAAAGUUUUGGCUCCUAGAGGGGACCCACUUGCAAACGUGGAUAGCAGUCGGAUUAAGCCCGUGUAUGUAGGUGGGCUUAGUAAUGCCUGUCCACCUCCAGAAUUACUAGUGGAAAUAAGAGAGGCAGCUUGUGUGACCAGUCCAUGANUUACAUAGUUCAUCCAAUUUGUCUGGAGACGAAGCAAAUGUUUCGGCAAUCCGAGUCAAACAAACAGAAGCAUGCUCCAAUACCUUCGCAUCAUGGUAAUGAAGAAGAUUUGUCAACAAAGGAACCGCUUCCAUCACAAAGUCAGCAGCAUCUGAUGGGAGUUUCUUGCACAUAUUUGCAGCAGUAGAUAAUGCCACCCGCUGGACUCCAGUCGAGAAGAAAUCCAAAUAAGAAAGCACCGCCAUAAGAGCACCAGCUCGCAGACAAGCAGUCGGGUGCUCCUGAGAUAUCUUUUUGAGCGCUUGCAAGGACUGUUCAGCCAAGUCCAUGUAUUCAAUAGUAAGCAACCUAGCAACAAAGCAUUGAACAGCGCCAUAAUGCACAACAGCUGCACAAGAUGAAGGCAACACAUCACAUAAAUGAGUGAUUGCCCU